Molecule: ribosomal RNA, 433 nt
Filed under: uncultured bacterium
Lineage: Bacteria
Description: partial 16S ribosomal RNA
Rfam family: Bacterial small subunit ribosomal RNA
Source: RNAcentral
AACGAACGCUGGCGGCAUGCCUAACACGUGCAAGUCGAACGAGACCUUCGGGUCUAGUGGCGCACGGGUGCGUAACGCGUGGGAACCUGCCCUUAGGUUCGGAAUAACUCCCCGAAAGGGGUGCUAAUACCGGAUAAUGUCUUCGGACCAAAGAUUUAUCGCCUUUGGAUGGGCCCGCGUUGGAUUAGCUAGUUGGUAGGGUAAAAGCCUACCAAGGCGACGAUCCAUAGCUGGUCUGAGAGGAUGAUCAGCCACACUGGGACUGAGACACGGCCCAGACUCCUACGGGAGGCAGCAGUGGGGAAUAUUGGACAAUGGGCGAAAGCCUGAUCCAGCAAUGCCGCGUGAGUGAUGAAGGCCUUAGGGUUGCAAAGCUCUUUUACCCGGGAUGAUAAUGACAGUACCGGGAGAAUAAGCUCCGGCUAACUCCGUG